AUUGAACGCUGGCGGCAGGCCUAACACAUGCAAGUCGAGCGAGCGGCGGACGGGUGAGUAAUGUAUGGGGACUGCCCGAUAGAGGGGGAUAACUACUGGAAACGGUAGCUAAUACCGCAUACUAUCGGAUCACCCAGAUGGGAUUAGCUAGUAGGUGAGGUAAUGGCUCAACUAGGCGACGAUCCCUAGCUGGUCUGAGAGGAUGAUCAGCCAGACUGGGAAUGAGACACGGGCCAGACUGCUACGGAGGCAGCAGUGGGGAAUAUUGCACAAGGGGCGCAAGCCUGAUGCAGCCAUGCCGCGUGUAUGAAGAAGGCCCUAGGGUUGUAAAGUACUUUCAGUCGGGAGGCGUUACCGACAGAAGAAGCACCGGCUAACUCCGUGCCAGCAGCCGCGGUAAUUG
This 403-nucleotide ribosomal RNA is filed under the name uncultured bacterium. RNAcentral's name for it is "partial 16S ribosomal RNA". It matches the Rfam family "Bacterial small subunit ribosomal RNA", at positions 30 to 527 of the family's 1533-position model. The record is from RNAcentral.